UAUACAUAAUGCCACCAGACAGAAAAAGGAAGACAUUCAUAUUCACGGAUGUACAAGCUAACAUAUUGAUUACACAACAUGCACAUAAACAAAGAACUCUUAUUGCUGUCUAAGAAAAUAAACAACUGAUAAUUUCCAAGGGUAUAAAGCAUCAAAUAUUCCUAUACAACGCUACUACUAUACUGUAAUCUUGGGCAGACAGCAAUUUCCCUUCUAAAUUAAAUUUUUAAGAAAACAUACGAGGCACAAAAGUUACGCCUUUAACUAAUUCAUAACCCACACUUGCAAAAUUAGUUGGCAGUGUAGUGUCAUAUUCUAAAUAGCACAGAUAAUGUCCAAUACCGUUAGAAUUCAAGCUUUUUGCAUAAGCCCAAAUCAAUAAUCCUUGAUUUACUAGUUGGCUCUAAAGGAGCACCAGGGCAAGUUUCAGCAAUUACAUUUAGCCGAGAAGCUGAGGGAGGUGUCCUGCAAGCAUCACAAUCCCAUUCCAUAUUUGAUAGUUCAGCAAGAGCACUCUCUGUUUGCUUAGAAACAAUAGCCUCCAAGAGAUUUUCAUAUACUGAUUUGAACAUCUCCACAUCUAAAAUGGACUCCAUACCAUUACCAGGACUCGCAUGGUCCAAACCUUUGAGGGAAGAUUCAAAGUUAAGUCUUCGAGCAACACUGAUCCUUGCCUCAUCAAAGUAUUUCUUAGACUGGGAAGCCAAGACUUUGUCAUCAGGACUUGGAGCAAAUGGGUCAAAAACAACAUCCUUAGGUGUUUUGGGGCUGCUAGAAUUAUCAAUAUAGGGGAACUGGUCCUGAUUUCUAUUGGUUUUAGAAUCAAAGGUUAGCAAAGUCGGCAUUUUUGUCACCAUAGUGAGAGAAGAACUAGGCUCCAAGAGGAAAUCCCCAUUCUCUUUGUUUGCAUCAGGAGUGAUAGGCCCAAGAGAUAGCUCAAUUUUUGCCUUAUCAGCUUCUUCACUACAAGUUUCAUCCAAACUUUGCGUGGACUUUUGGGAU
RNAcentral lists this unclassified non-coding RNA (1002 nucleotides) under Hevea brasiliensis (rubber tree). Lineage: Eukaryota; Viridiplantae; Streptophyta; Magnoliopsida; Malpighiales; Euphorbiaceae. The record is from RNAcentral.